UGCCAGCAGCCGCGGUAAGACGAACCGUGCGAACGUUGUUCGGAAUCAUUGGGCUUAAAGGGUGCGUAGGCGGGUGUUCAAGUCCGGGGUGAAAGCCUCCAGCUCAACUGGAGAAGCGCCUCGGAUACUGUUCAUCUCGAGAGAGGUAGGGGCACAUGGAACUUCCGGUGGAGCGGUGAAAUGCGUAGAGAUCGGAAGGAACGCCGGUGGCGAAAGCAAUGUGCUGGAUCUUUUCUGACGCUGAGGCACGAAAGCCAGGGGAGCAAACGGGAUUAGAUACCCCGGUAGUCCUGGCCCUAAACGAUGGGUACUGGGUUGCGGGUCGGACAUAGACUCGCAGCCGAAGCAAAAGUGGUAAGUACCCCGCCUGGGGAGUAUGGUCGCAAGGCUGAAACUCAAAUGAAUUGACGG
This 411-nucleotide ribosomal RNA is filed under the name uncultured Planctomycetaceae bacterium. RNAcentral's name for it is "bacterial SSU rRNA". It matches the Rfam family "Bacterial small subunit ribosomal RNA", at positions 506 to 916 of the family's 1533-position model. Lineage: Bacteria; Pseudomonadati; Planctomycetota; Planctomycetia; Planctomycetales; Planctomycetaceae. The record is from RNAcentral.